This 253-nucleotide ribosomal RNA is filed under the name uncultured bacterium. Its description in RNAcentral is "partial 16S ribosomal RNA". It matches the Rfam family "Bacterial small subunit ribosomal RNA", at positions 524 to 776 of the family's 1533-position model. The record is from RNAcentral.
UACGUAGGGGGCAAGCGUUGUCCGGAAUCAUUGGGCGUAAAGCGCGUGUAGGCGGCCCGGUAAGUCCGCUGUGAAAGUCGGGGGCUCAACCCUCGGAUGCCGGUGGAUACUGUCGGGCUAGAGUGCGGGAGAGGCGAGUGGAAUUCCUGGUGUAGCGGUGAAAUGCGCAGAUAUCAGGAGGAACACCAAUUGCGAAAGCAGCUCGCUGGAACGUUACUGACGCUGAGACGCGAAAGCGUGGGGAGCAAACAGG